Molecule: non-coding RNA, 82 nt
Organism: Sphagnurus paluster
Lineage: Eukaryota; Fungi; Basidiomycota; Agaricomycetes; Agaricales; Lyophyllaceae
Source: the annotation of a GenBank genome assembly
GGGUCGAUGGCGUAGUUGGUUAUCGCGUCUGUCUCACAUGAAUGUGCACAGGAGGUCCUCAGUUCGAGCCUGGGUCGACUCA